RNAcentral lists this ribosomal RNA (253 nucleotides) under uncultured prokaryote. RNAcentral describes it as "partial 16S ribosomal RNA". It matches the Rfam family "Bacterial small subunit ribosomal RNA", at positions 524 to 776 of the family's 1533-position model. The record is from RNAcentral.
GACGAAGGAUGCAAGCGUUAUCCGGAUUCAUUGGGUUUAAAGGGAGCGUAGGUGGCCUUGUAAGUCAGUGGUGAAAUCCUGUAGCUUAACUAUAGAAUUGCCAUUGAUACUGCAGGGCUUGAGUACAGAUGCCGUUGGCGGAAUAUGACAUGUAGUGGUGAAAUACUUAGAUAUGUCAUAGAACACCGAUUGCGAAGGCAGCUGACGAAACUGUAACUGACACUGAGGCUCGAAAGUGUGGGGAGCAAACAGG